AAGUCGUAACAAGGUUUCCGUAGGUGAACCUGCGGAAGGAUCAUUCAUAAUAAAAGUGUUUUAUGGCACUUUUAAAACAAUCCAUAUCCACCUUGUGUGCAAUGUUUUUUUAUUAUAUAUCACUCUAUUUUAAUUUAUUUUGUCUGAAAUAUAUUAUGAAUACUUAAUUCAAAAAUAUAACUUUCAACAACGGAUCUCUUGGCUCUC
This 207-nucleotide unclassified non-coding RNA is filed under the name Mortierella paraensis. RNAcentral describes it as "partial internal transcribed spacer region". The stretch from base 1 to 46 matches the Rfam family "Eukaryotic small subunit ribosomal RNA", at positions 1786 to 1831 of the family's 1831-position model. Lineage: Eukaryota; Fungi; Mortierellomycota; Mortierellomycetes; Mortierellales; Mortierellaceae. The record is from RNAcentral.